Molecule: ribosomal RNA, 468 nt
Filed under: uncultured bacterium
Lineage: Bacteria
Description: partial 16S ribosomal RNA
Rfam family: Bacterial small subunit ribosomal RNA
Source: RNAcentral
GACGUACGCUGGCGGCGUGCUUAACACAUGCAAGUCGAACGGAAAGGCCCUGCUUGUGUGGGGUGCUCGAGUGGCGAACGGGUGAGUAACACGUGAGUAACCUGCCCUUGACUUUGGGAUAACUUCAGGAAACUGGGGCUAAUACCGGAUAGGAGCUCCUGCUGCAUGGUGGGGGUUGGAAAGUUUCGGCGGUUGGGGAUGGACUCGCGGCUUAUCAGCUUGUUGGUGGGGUAGUGGCUUACCAAGGCUUUGACGGGUAGCCGGCCUGAGAGGGUGACCGGCCACAUUGGGACUGAGAUACGGCCCAGACUCCUACGGGAGGCAGCAGUGGGGAAUAUUGCACAAUGGGCGGAAGCCUGAUGCAGCAACGCCGCGUGCGGGAUGACGGCCUUCGGGUUGUAAACCGCUUUCGCCUGUGACGAAGCGUGAGUGACGGUAAUGGGUAAAGAAGCACCGGCUAACUACGUG